AGUGAACGCUGGCGGUAGGCCUAACACAUGCAAGUCGAACGGCAGCACAGUAAGAGCUUGCUCUUACGGGUGGCGAGUGGCGGACGGGUGAGGAAUACAUCGGAAUUUACUUUUUCGUGGGGGAUAACGUAGGGAAACUUACGCUAAUACCGCAUACGACCUACGGGUGAAAGCAGGGGAUCUUCGGACCUUGCGCGAUUGAAUGAGCCGAUGUCGGAUUAGCUUGUUGGCGGGGUAAAGGCCCACCAAGGCGACGAUCCGUAGCUGGUCUGAGAGGAUGAUCAGCCACACUGGAACUGAGACACGGUCCAGACUCCUACGGGAGGCAGCAGUGGGGAAUAUUGGACAAUGGGCGCAAGCCUGAUCCAGCCAUACCGCGUGGGUGAAGAAGGCCUUCGGGUUGUAAAGCCCUUUUGUUGGGAAAGAAAAGCAGCAGGUUAAUACCCCGCUGUUCUGACGGUACCCAAAGAAUAAGCACCGGCUAACUUCGUG
RNAcentral lists this ribosomal RNA (492 nucleotides) under uncultured bacterium. RNAcentral describes it as "partial 16S ribosomal RNA". It matches the Rfam family "Bacterial small subunit ribosomal RNA", at positions 29 to 507 of the family's 1533-position model. The record is from RNAcentral.